This 29-nucleotide non-coding RNA is filed under the name Rattus norvegicus (Norway rat). The record is from RNAcentral. Lineage: Eukaryota; Metazoa; Chordata; Mammalia; Rodentia; Muridae.
UGCAAUCACCCUCAUCGCCAUGCUCACCC